RNAcentral lists this ribosomal RNA (252 nucleotides) under uncultured bacterium. Its description in RNAcentral is "partial 16S ribosomal RNA". It matches the Rfam family "Bacterial small subunit ribosomal RNA", at positions 524 to 776 of the family's 1533-position model. The record is from RNAcentral.
UACGUAGGGUGCAAGCGUUGUCCGGAAUUAUUGGGCGUAAAGAGCUCGUAGGCGGUCUGUCGCGUCGGCUGUGAAAUCCCGAGGCUCAACCUCGGGUCUGCAGUCGAUACGGGCAAACUAGAGUAUUGCAGGGAGACUGGAAUUCCUGGUGUAGCGGUGAAAUGCGCAGAUAUCAGGAGGAACACCGGUGGCGAAGGCGGGUCUCUGGGCAAUAACUGACGCUGAGGAGCGAAAGCGUGGGGAGCGAACAGG